GAAAAUUUAGUUAAUUAUAAUAUUGGACUGUCAGGCCAAAGUAAUAGAUUAGAUUCUAUAAUUUUUA
Molecule: transfer RNA, 67 nt
Filed under: Benthodytes marianensis
Lineage: Eukaryota; Metazoa; Echinodermata; Holothuroidea; Elasipodida; Psychropotidae
Description: tRNA-Asp
Rfam family: tRNA
About the family: Transfer RNA (tRNA) molecules are approximately 80 nucleotides in length. Their secondary structure includes four short double-helical elements and three loops (D, anti-codon, and T loops). Further hydrogen bonds mediate the characteristic L-shaped molecular structure. tRNAs have two regions of fundamental functional importance: the anti-codon, which is responsible for specific mRNA codon recognition, and the 3' end, to which the tRNAs corresponding amino acid is attached (by aminoacyl-tRNA synthetases). tRNAs cope with the degeneracy of the genetic code in two manners: having more than one tRNA (with a specific anti-codon) for a particular amino acid; and 'wobble' base-pairing, i.e. permitting non-standard base-pairing at the 3rd anti-codon position.
Source: RNAcentral